This 210-nucleotide long non-coding RNA is filed under the name Elaeis guineensis (African oil palm). Its description in RNAcentral is "long non-coding RNA (EGUI_LNC013717)". Lineage: Eukaryota; Viridiplantae; Streptophyta; Magnoliopsida; Arecales; Arecaceae. The record is from RNAcentral.
GAUCAACUCCAUCUCUGUCUGGAUCAUCUGAUACCACUUGUCCAUGGUUAUCAGGCUCUGAUAUCAAUUGUUGUGCUCUAAUACCACUUAUUGAAAGAGAAAGAAAGAAGAAAGAGAGAGAAAUAUAUCAUAAAUAAAUCAAGAUAAUACGGAUUGACCUCAGGCCUAUCUCUACAGAGCGUGCAAGCUUCACUAUGAGAGGAAAAAAUC